CAAUAGCGUAUAUUUAAGUUGUUGCAGUUAAAAAGCUCGUAGUUGGAUUUCGGUUGAGAACGGCCGGUCCGCCGUUUGGUGUGCACUGGCUGGUUUCAACUUCCUGUAGAGGACGCGCUCUGGCUUCACGGCUGGACGCGGAGUCUACGUGGUUACUUUGAAAAAAUUAGAGUGUUCAAAGCGGGCUUACGCUUGAAUAUUUCAGCGUGGAAUAACACUAUAGGACUCCUGUCCUAUUUCGUUGGUCUCGGGACGGGAGUAAUGAUUAAGAGGAACAGUUGGGGGCAUUCGUAUUUCAUUGUCAGAGGUGAAAUUCUUGGAUUUAUGAAAGACGAACUUCUGCGAAAGCAUUUGCCAAGGAUGUUUUCAUUAA
This 373-nucleotide ribosomal RNA is filed under the name uncultured eukaryote. RNAcentral describes it as "partial 18S ribosomal RNA". It matches the Rfam family "Eukaryotic small subunit ribosomal RNA", at positions 592 to 976 of the family's 1831-position model. The record is from RNAcentral.